This 245-nucleotide ribosomal RNA is filed under the name Altica viridicyanea. RNAcentral's name for it is "partial 16S ribosomal RNA". The stretch from base 1 to 198 matches the Rfam family "Bacterial large subunit ribosomal RNA", at positions 2443 to 2642 of the family's 2925-position model. The record is from RNAcentral. Lineage: Eukaryota; Metazoa; Arthropoda; Insecta; Coleoptera; Chrysomelidae.
AAAUGAUUAUAAGAUUAAAUUACCUUAGGGAUAACAGCGUAAUUUUAUUGGAGAGUUCAAAUCGAUAAUAAAGAUUGCGACCUCGAUGUUGGAUUAAAAUUAAAUUUUGGUGUAGCAGCUAAAAGAUAAAGUCUGUUCGACUUUUAAAAUUUUACAUGAUCUGAGUUUAAACCGGUGUAAGCCAGGUUGGUUUCUAUCUUUAAAUAGUUAAUAUAUUUUAGUACGAAAGGAUUAAAUAUAUAUAA